UAAGAGAUUGGGAAUAAUGAUUUUGGCAGUGAGCAUCAAAACAUCGCAGCUAAGUUUUGAUUUUAGCUCAGCCUCCAAACCCUUAAUCCCCAAAUCUCAUUGCUCCUCCCUCUCCCUCCUCCACUUCGUUAGCCUCUGCUCCUCUUCCUCAUCCUGUCAUCAUCCUCUCCUUCACCUCACCUACCCUUCCGUUCUCUGCUGUGGAAGAGGAGUUCUAGAUGCUCCAAUGGCCUCCUCAUAGGCCUUUGCCCAAAGGCAUCCGUGACUUCUCAAUCAACGCCGACGGCCGCUUCCAGUGUGGCCUCAAUGCCCCCUGCAUGGCCACCUUCGAAAGCGAGGUCCUCUACAAUGCCAGCAUCUUUGGCACCAUCUCCUCCAUGUCCUCCCUCCUGUUCUUCGAGAUCCGCCGUUUGUUUGCUUCAGGCUCCUGCGGCGCGAGCGGGAGCACGAACAAAAGACCACUCACCAUGAAGCUCCAGAAGGUGUAUAGGAGCUACCGAACCUGCCGUAGGUUAGCGGACUCCGUCGUCGUCGCUAAAGAGCUUCGGAAUGGAAGAGGUUGAUAAAGAGAAAGUACAAAGGAUAAUUUAUGAGAAGGGCAAAGGAUCAAUAUAUUUUGAGAAUGAGAAAAGAAAAGAGGCAUUCAUUAAAUAGAAAAUUGAAAGCUUGUAUGCGCAACGUGCAAAACUUACAGAGAAGGAUAUUUCACAUUUCCAAAUGGUUCAACCUAUGGAACUUGAGAAAGUCUUGUCAAAGGGUGCAUACAUGCUUCUUUAUGUUAGGUGCUUACCUCAUGAUCCAAGUUCAAUAAGGAGAGCGAUGGCUCAACUUGCACGCGCUAGGAAGAACAUGAUUGGUGCUGAGUACUGGCACCACCUUGCAAAAGUUUUUCAUCUGACCUUCACUAGUACAACCUUUACAAAUUCUGAGUUGUCCUAGCUUCAUUGUUUAUGCAAUCUCAUUAAGCAGCCUCUACUUUUUAAGCUAGUAGAUUCUGUCAGGUACUUUAAGUUGCUUAAGAAAUAUUUGUUUCAUUAAAUAUUAUGUAUCCAUGCCCACCAAAUAUGUUUGAUUAUAUAUUGGCUUGUUGUUUCACCUAACAUACACCAUCCAUAUUUCAUUUAAUUAAUCUGUAGAGAGUGGUUGCCAGCAAUCUAGUUAUGCCACUUGAUGAAAUUGAUAAGACGGGUUCUAAUGUCCAGGGGGAUCUAGCAUCCGCAUUAUUGGAAGUUCUUGAUCCAGAACAAAAUAAAACUUUCAAUGAUCAUUAUUUUAAUGUUCCUUUUGAUCUAUCAAAGGUAAUUUUUGUUGCAACUGCAAAUAGAAUUCAACCUAUUCCUCCUCCACUCUUAGAUCGAAUGGAAGUCAUUGAGCUUCUUGGCUAUACACCUGAAGAAAAAUGAAAGAUAGCUCUCAAGCAUCUUAUACCACGAGUCUUAGAGCAGCAUGGCAUAAGUUCUCAGUUCCUUCAAAUUCCUGAGGUAUAUUUUCUUCAAAUUUAGUUUUGUUAGAUUAGAAACAAACUUCUUCAUAUACUGAAAUUUUUAUUAAGGUAUCUAGUAUGAAAAUUUUAACAAUUUUAAGCAUAAAAAUAUUUUUGCUCACUAGAAAUCAAACUAUUCAAUAGUUCCUUUUUGAGUUUAGAUCUUCUUUAGUUGUAUAAUUCCUUUUUGCUCACUAGAAAUCAAACUAUUCAAGCUAUAGUUCCUUUUUGCUCACUAGA
Molecule: RNA transcript, 1723 nt
Organism: Zingiber officinale
Lineage: Eukaryota; Viridiplantae; Streptophyta; Magnoliopsida; Zingiberales; Zingiberaceae
Exons: 5
Source: RefSeq, a predicted model, not a curated record